This 465-nucleotide ribosomal RNA is filed under the name Vreelandella stevensii. RNAcentral describes it as "partial 16S ribosomal RNA". It matches the Rfam family "Bacterial small subunit ribosomal RNA", at positions 338 to 795 of the family's 1533-position model. Lineage: Bacteria; Pseudomonadati; Pseudomonadota; Gammaproteobacteria; Oceanospirillales; Halomonadaceae. The record is from RNAcentral.
CCUACGGGGGGCAGCAGUGGGGAAUAUUGGACAAUGGGGGGAACCCUGAUCCAGCCAUGCCGCGUGUGUGAAGGAGGCCCUCGGGUUGUAAAGCACUUUCAGUGAGGAAGAACGCCUGGUGGUUAAUACCCAUCAGGAAAGACAUCACUCACAGAAGAAGCACCGGCUAACUCCGUGCCAGCAGCCGCGGUAAUACGGAGGGUGCGAGCGUUAAUCGGAAUUACUGGGCGUAAAGCGCGCGUAGGUGGCUUGAUAAGCCGGUUGUGAAAGCCCCGGGCUCAACCUGGGAACGGCAUCCGGAACUGUCAAGCUAGAGUGCAGGAGAGGAAGGUAGAAUUCCCGGUGUAGCGGUGAAAUGCGUAGAGAUCGGGAGGAAUACCAGUGGCGAAGGCGGCCUUCUGGACUGACACUGACACUGAGGUGCGAAAGCGUGGGUAGCAAACAGGAUUAGAUACCCCAGUAGUC